RNAcentral lists this ribosomal RNA (593 nucleotides) under uncultured bacterium. RNAcentral describes it as "bacterial SSU rRNA". It matches the Rfam family "Bacterial small subunit ribosomal RNA", at positions 343 to 933 of the family's 1533-position model. The record is from RNAcentral.
GGGAGGCAGCAGUGAGGAAUAUUGGACAAUGGAGGAGACUCUGAUCCAGCCAUGCCGCGUGCAGGAAGAAUGCCCUAUGGGUAGUAAACUGCUUUUAUACGGGAAGAAAAAGGGCUACGUGUAGCCUACUGACGGUACCGUAAGAAUAAGGACCGGCUAACUCCGUGCCAGCAGCCGCGGUAAUACGGAGGGUCCGAGCGUUAUCCGGAAUUAUUGGGUUUAAAGGGUCCGUAGGCGGGCCGAUAAGUCAGGGGUGAAAGUCUGCCGCUCAACGGUAGAACUGCCUUUGAUACUGUCGGUCUUGAGUUAUAGUGAAGUUGCCGGAAUAUGUAGUGUAGCGGUGAAAUGCAUAGAUAUUACAUAGAACACCGAUUGCGAAGGCAGGUGACUAACUAUAUACUGACGCUGAUGGACGAAAGCGUGGGGAGCGAACAGGAUUAGAUACCCUGGUAGUCCACGCCGUAAACGAUGGAUACUAGCUGUCCGGGUCCUUGAGACCUGGGCGGCCAAGCGAAAGUGAUAAGUAUCCCACCUGGGGAGUACGUUCGCAAGAAUGAAACUCAAAGGAAUUGACGGGGGCCCGCACAAAAGGG